RNAcentral lists this ribosomal RNA (495 nucleotides) under uncultured bacterium. Its description in RNAcentral is "partial 16S ribosomal RNA". It matches the Rfam family "Bacterial small subunit ribosomal RNA", at positions 28 to 507 of the family's 1533-position model. The record is from RNAcentral.
GACGAACGCUGGCGGCGUGCCUAAUACAUGCAAGUAGAACGCUGAAGGAGGAGCUUGCUUCUCUGGAUGAGUUGCGAACGGGUGAGUAACGCGUAGGAAACCUGCCUGGUAGCGGGGGAUAACUAUUGGAAACGAUAGCUAAUACCGCAUAAGAGUAGAUGUUGCAUGACAUUUGCUUAAAAGGUGCAAUUGCAUCACUACCAGAUGGACCUGCGUUGUAUUAGCUAGUUGGUGGGGUAACGGCUUACCAAGGCGACGAUACAUAGCCGACCUGAGAGGGGGAUCGGCCACCCUGGGACUGCGCCACGGCCCAGACUCCUACGGGAGGCAGCAGUAGGGAAUCUUCGGCAAUGGACGGAAGUCUGACCGAGCAACGCCGCGUGAGUGAAGAAGGUUUUCGGAUCGUAAAGCUCUGUUGUAAGAGAAGAACGAGUGUGAGAGUGGAAAGUUCACACUGUGACGGUAUCUUACCAGAAAGGGACGGCUAACUACGUG